RNAcentral lists this ribosomal RNA (460 nucleotides) under uncultured bacterium. RNAcentral's name for it is "partial 16S ribosomal RNA". It matches the Rfam family "Bacterial small subunit ribosomal RNA", at positions 338 to 795 of the family's 1533-position model. The record is from RNAcentral.
CCUACGGGCGGCAGCAGUGAGGAAUAUUGGUCAAUGGGCGCGAGCCUGAACCAGCCAAGUAGCGUGAAGGAUGACGGCCCUACGGGUUGUAAACUUCUUUUAUACGGGAAUAACGUGAGUCACGUGUGCCGUUUUGCAUGUACUUUAUGAAUAAGGAUCGGCUAAUUCCGUGCCAGCAGCCGCGGUAAUACGGAGGAUCCGGGCGUUAUCCGGAUUUAUUGGGUUUAAAGGGAGCGUAGACCGGUUGUUAAGCCAGUUGUGAAAUUUUGCGGCUCAACCGUGAGAUUGCAAUGGAUACUGGCAGCCUUGAGUGCAGUUGAGGUAGGCGGAAUUCGUGGUGUAGCGGUGAAAUGCUUAGAUAUCACGAAGAACUCCGAUUGCGAAGGCAGCCUACUAAACUGCCACUGACGCUGAUGCUCGAAAGUGGGGGUAUCGAACAGGAUUAGAUACCCGUGUAGUC